Molecule: ribosomal RNA, 871 nt
Filed under: uncultured bacterium
Lineage: Bacteria
Description: bacterial SSU rRNA
Rfam family: Bacterial small subunit ribosomal RNA
Source: RNAcentral
GCCGCGGUAAUACAGAGGUCUCAAGCGUUGUCGGAAUCACUGGGCGUAAAGGGUACGUAGGCUGCCGGAUAAGUCGUGCGUGAAAGGCAGGGCUCAACCUCUGGAGUGCGCAUGAUACUGUUUGGCUGGAGUGAUGGAGGGGAAACCGGAAUCUUGGUGUAGCAGUGAAAUGCGUAGAUAUCAAGAAGAAGACUCGUGGCGAAGGCGGGUUCUGGACAUUCACUGACGCUGAGGUACGAAGGCUAGGGUAGCGAAAGGGAUUAGAUACCCCGUAGUCCUAGCAGUAAACGGUGCACGCUUGGUGUGAGGGGAAUCGACCCCCUUCGUGCCGAGCUAACGCGUUAAGCGUGCCGCCUGGGGAGUACGGUCGCAAGAUUAAAACUCAAAGAAAUGACGGGGACCCGCACAAGCGGUGGAGUAUGUGGCUUAAUUCGAUGCAACGCGAAGAACCUACCAAGGAUUGACAUCCCGUGACCGCCUAUGAAAGUAGGUUUUCUAUUCGUAGACACGGGACAGGUGCUGCAUGGCCGUCGUCAGCUCGUGUCGUGAGAUGUUUGGUUAAGUCCAGCAAGAGCGCAACCCCUGCUGCCAGUUACCAGCGAGUAAAGUCGGGGACUCUGGCGGGACUGCCAGAUCAACUGGGAGGAAGGUGGGGACGACGUCAGGUCAGUAUGGCCUUUAUACCUUGGGCGCACACGUACUACAAUGCCCAGUACAGAGGGAAGCAAGCAAGCGAUUGCAAGCAGAUCCCAAAAGUGGGCCCAGUUCGGAUUGGAGGCUGCAACUCGCCUCCAUGAAGCCGGAAUCGCUAUAAUGGCGCAUCAGCUACGGCGCCGUGAAUACGUUCCCGGGUCUUGCACACACCGCCCGU